RNAcentral lists this ribosomal RNA (408 nucleotides) under uncultured bacterium. RNAcentral's name for it is "bacterial SSU rRNA". It matches the Rfam family "Bacterial small subunit ribosomal RNA", at positions 8 to 437 of the family's 1533-position model. The record is from RNAcentral.
AGAGUUUGAUCCUGGCUCAGAAUGAACGUUGGCGGCGUGGAUUAGGCAUGCAAGUCGCGCGUGUACCCGCAAGGGGAAAGCGGCGUAAGGGACAGUAAUACGUAGAUCACCUACCCUCGGAUUCGGGAUAGCUGCGGGAAACUGCAGGUAAUACCGAAUGACGUCUCCGGACCAAAGGUGUGAUUCCGUCCGAGGAUGGGUCUGCGUCCUAUUAGCUAGUUGGUAAGGUAAUGGCUUACCAAGGCAAUGAUGGGUAGUGGGUGUGAGAGCACGACCCGCGUCACUGGGACUGAGAUACUGCCCAGACACCUACGGGUGGCUGCAGUCGAGGAUCUUCGGCAAUGGGCGCAAGCCUGACCGAGCGACGCCGCGUGCGGGAUGAAGGCCUUCGGGUUGUAAACCGCUGUC